GAAAGUGCUUCCAUCCUGGGAGCCAGUUUAAGUGAAAUUAAGAUAGGACUUUGCAGCUCAUUGCAAACAAAAACAAACAAACAUACAAACGAAAAACUCAAACCAAAAUGAGACAAAAGACAAGAAACCUAUGAAAUCCAAGCUUUGUUAAAAUCAGUCACUCCCAGGCAACUCUGGUUGUUUUCAUCUAAGGCGGUGUGAAUGACUUCCCUGUAAGUGGAAGAAGGAGCCCCAGCUCCAUCUGAGUACCCCGGUCCCUAGGGCAGUUAAUUACAGGCAGAGCGUCUCGGUGAACGUCAUUGUCCUUGAGUUUCAAAGGACUACACUGGACAUAAGGCAGUUUUCUUGUGUUGGAAACAUGAAAUGCUCUCAGAUCCUUGGAGCCGGUGCUGCCUCUAGUAUCACUUUUAAAAGGAGAGACCUAACCACAGAAGACUAUAGGCUAUAGACACAACUGUGGGCGAUGCUGGCAUAAAGCACUCGCUUUAGUAACAGAAAGGAAAGCUGCUUGCAGGCAGUUCCCUGAGGAAUCAAAUCACUCCAUAGGGAAGACCAACACUGAGGCUCUCCCUGUGAAGACCAACACUGAGGCUCUCCCUGUGAAGACCAACACUGAGGCUCUCCCUGUGAAGUUUGCUCACUAACCUCAGAUGACACUGGAUGCUACCCCAGCCGGUUGGUUAUAUCACACACAGCACCCACAAGGGCAUUUGUUCCCUUCUCUGCUCCUGUCAUAAACACUCAUAUUUGCUUGUGAAAGACAGCUUGCCAUUUGGAGGCCAAACCGUGGGUUGUCACUAAUGAGCUGGCCCUCUGAUCAUCAUUUGCCUAGAAGGUAAGGAGCGAGAUUGGAUUCCCUAAACAACACAGCCAAAACCCACAACAAAACAAAUGGAGGGAUUUCCUUCUUCAGGGAACAGUUCUUUCCAGAGACAUCUCUAUAGACACACCCAGGAGCGUGUUUCCAUGGUGAUUCUAAACUCCCAUAAAGUUGAGAAGAUUAUCACAUCAGCCUUUCUUGUUUGCGGCUCAAUAAGGUCACAGCAACAUAUAUUCGUUUUAAAAAUAAAGCAAACAAAAACCCCAAGCCAGCAGUGUGUGAGUACUGUAAGCUGCAAUUGCUGAUGGAAUGGCGCCUUGAGAAACUCAUUGCCCGGACGUCUACUUGAAGCCCAUUGUAUACAAGGCACUUGGUUGAGCAGUGAGGGCCAGGCUGGUGCUUUCUGG
RNAcentral lists this long non-coding RNA (1227 nucleotides) under Mus spicilegus (steppe mouse). Its description in RNAcentral is "lncRNA (ENSMSIG00000021926.1)". The record is from RNAcentral. Lineage: Eukaryota; Metazoa; Chordata; Mammalia; Rodentia; Muridae.